GGCGGUUCUCGGGUGACACAUCCUGGAAUUGGGUUCCUUCCACUCUGGUUCAGGGUGUAUCACCCGAGAACUGCC
This is a non-coding RNA of Myotis brandtii (Brandt's bat), 75 nucleotides long. Lineage: Eukaryota; Metazoa; Chordata; Mammalia; Chiroptera; Vespertilionidae. The record is from Rfam.